This is a long non-coding RNA of Anguilla anguilla (European eel), 416 nucleotides long. RefSeq lists it as uncharacterized. The transcript has 3 exons. NCBI's taxonomy places the organism in Eukaryota, Metazoa, Chordata, Actinopteri, Anguilliformes, Anguillidae. The record is from RefSeq and is a predicted model, not a curated record.
CAGACGCAGCUCCCUGUGGCUCUGCAGGAAACUGGGGUCCAGCUGGGGCAUCUGGGAAAAGAGGAGGAGCUGAAAUUGCGGGACAGUCGCGCUUGGCGGCAUCGGCUCCGUGGUCGAACGUUACAGAACGUCAGCGAGUUCAGGCAUCGUCACGGCCCAAUGGCUGCUCUGGCAUAUCCGCAUCAUCCUAUUGGGUGUGCAGGAGAGCAAAGACCGCCCCCUGCUGGACUAACAAAGCCACAUUCAGCAUCAAGCCGGUUUGCCUCUUCUUGUUGUCUUCUUACUACUGACCAAACUAAGGACCAGACAAACAAACUUCUGGAAAAUGCACCAUUCUUCAACUGAUUGCAAAUGCACCGAACACACAACGGACACAGCGACCGCAUAAAGAAAGGAAUCCCUGUCCCUACCAGGGG